RNAcentral lists this ribosomal RNA (854 nucleotides) under Lactiplantibacillus plantarum. RNAcentral's name for it is "bacterial SSU rRNA". It matches the Rfam family "Bacterial small subunit ribosomal RNA", at positions 173 to 1005 of the family's 1533-position model. Lineage: Bacteria; Bacillati; Bacillota; Bacilli; Lactobacillales; Lactobacillaceae. The record is from RNAcentral.
UAACAACUUGGACCGCAUGGUCCGAGCUUGAAAGAUGGCUUCGGCUAUCACUUUUGGAUGGUCCCGCGGCGUAUUAGCUAGAUGGUGGGGUAACGGCUCACCAUGGCAAUGAUACGUAGCCGACCUGAGAGGGUAAUCGGCCACAUUGGGACUGAGACACGGCCCAAACUCCUACGGGAGGCAGCAGUAGGGAAUCUUCCACAAUGGACGAAAGUCUGAUGGAGCAACGCCGCGUGAGUGAAGAAGGGUUUCGGGCUCGUAAAACUCUGUUGUUAAAGAAGAACAUAUCUGAGAGUAACUGUUCAGGUAUUGACGGUAUUUAACCAGAAAGCCACGGCUAAACUACGUGCCAGCAGCCGCGGUAAUACGUAGGUGGCAAGCGUUGUCCGGAUUUAUUGGGCGUAAAGCGAGCGCAGGCGGUUUUUUAAGUCUGAUUGUGAAAGCCUUCGGCUCCAACCGAAGAAAGUGCAUCGGAAACCUGGGAAAACUUGAGUGCAGAAGAGGACAGUGGAACUCCAUGUGUAGCGGGGAAAUGCGUAGAUAUAUGGAAGAACACCAGUGCCGAAGGCGGCUGUCUGGUCUGUAACUGACACUGAGGCUCGAAAGUAUGGGUAGCAAACAGGGACUAGAUACCCUGGUAGUCCAUACCGUAAACGAUGAAUGCUAAGUGUUGGAGGGUUUCCGCCCUUCAGUGCUGCAGCUAACGCAUUAAGCAUUCCGCCUGGGGAGUACGGCCGCAAGGCUGAAACUCAAAGGAAUUGACGGGGGCCCGCACAAGCGGUGGAGCAUGUGGUUUAAUUCGAAGCUACGCGAAGAACCUUACCAGGUCUUGACAUACUAUGCAAAUCUAAGAG